Molecule: non-coding RNA, 90 nt
Organism: Gymnopus androsaceus JB14
Lineage: Eukaryota; Fungi; Basidiomycota; Agaricomycetes; Agaricales; Omphalotaceae
Source: the annotation of a GenBank genome assembly
GCAUUAAUGGGGUAGUGGUAACCUGGGUCGUUGCCAUACCUAAUCCAGGCAUUCUUCGACCCGCCGGGGGUUCGAUUCCCUCUUAAUGCA